RNAcentral lists this ribosomal RNA (442 nucleotides) under Gigaspora gigantea. Its description in RNAcentral is "eukaryotic LSU rRNA". It matches the Rfam family "Eukaryotic large subunit ribosomal RNA", at positions 242 to 622 of the family's 3401-position model. The record is from RNAcentral. Lineage: Eukaryota; Fungi; Glomeromycota; Glomeromycetes; Diversisporales; Gigasporaceae.
GUUAUUUAAUACGUUUCUAAGAGUCGAGUUGUUUGGGAAUGCAGCUCUAAAUGGGUGGUAAAUUUCACCUAAUGCUAAAUAUAAGCGAGAGACCGAUAGCGAACAAGUACAGUGAUGGAAAGAUGAAAAGAACUUUGAAAAGAGAGUUAAAUAGUACGUGAAAUUGUUGAAAGGGAAACGAUUGAAGUCAGUCAUGCCGGUGGGAAUCAACUUAGAGGAAACUCUGAGUGCACUUCUUCGCUUGGCAGGUCAACGUCGAUUUUGGAUGUCAUAAAAUGAUUGGGGGAAGGUAGCUCCUUCGGGAGUGUUAUAGCCCUUGGUAGAUGUGAUGUCUGGGAUCGAGGAUUGCAAUGGAUACCCUUUGGGGCUAGCCGCCUGAUCUCUAAUUGGUAUUGGGUUACGGAUAGCAUGCUGACCGUGAUGCUAAUUAUUGGUUAAAAGG